GUAGGUGGCAAGCGUUGUCCGGAAUUAUUGGGCGUAAAGCGCGCGCAGGCGGUCCUUUAAGUCUGAUGUGAAAGCCCACGGCUCAACCGUGGAGGGUCAUUGGAAACUGGGAGAACUUGAGUACAGAGGGGAAAGCGGAAUUCCACGUGUAGCGGUGAAAUGCGUAGAGAUGUGGAGGAACACCAGUGGCGAAGGCGGCUUUCUGGUCUGUAACUGACGCUGAGGCGCGAAAGCGUGGGGAGCAAACGAGGGAUUAGAUACCCUGGUAGUCCACGCCGUAAACGAUGAGUGCUAAGUGUUAGGGGGGUUUCCGCCCCCUUAGUGCUGCAGCUAACGCAUUAAGCACUCCGCCUGGGGAGUACGGCCGCAAGGCUG
This 375-nucleotide ribosomal RNA is filed under the name uncultured organism. RNAcentral describes it as "partial 16S ribosomal RNA". It matches the Rfam family "Bacterial small subunit ribosomal RNA", at positions 527 to 896 of the family's 1533-position model. The record is from RNAcentral.